This is a long non-coding RNA of Hordeum vulgare subsp. vulgare (domesticated barley), 553 nucleotides long. RefSeq lists it as uncharacterized. The transcript is spliced from 3 exons. The record is from RefSeq and is a predicted model, not a curated record. NCBI's taxonomy places the organism in Eukaryota, Viridiplantae, Streptophyta, Magnoliopsida, Poales, Poaceae.
GUUUAGCUAUGUGAAUUGUUUUUUUCCACCUGAUAAUCCAUAAUUAUGAGUUUGCCUAGCAAGUAUUGCACAUUUUCUCUUGAACAUUCUCAAAUUUGAUAAUCUUGUUACUUCUAAAUUAUUCAGAGUUGGCAUAUGCUGAAAGAAACACUUUGAGAAGAAGACAAAUUACACUCUGGUUACUAACCGUGACAUUUCGUUGGAAGAGAUUUUGUUCUCGGUGAUUGGGCAUAGUGAUUUUGAUGCAUCGCCUGAUCUCAUUCUCACAAAGGAUAUCAAUGGGGUGAAUGCCGGUACUCAACCUAUUGAUGCACACGGACAUGAUGACUCUCUAGCGUUUAUGGACCAAACAACCUGUAAUCAUGGACCUUAUUGUCUUGUAGACCAUUUGGUGUUUCGAGUGUUUCGGAGCUUGUACUUUGUGCAUGUAGAUACAAACAUGUGUGUUCUGGACCAUCUGAAGUCUGUCAUAGUAACCAAUAGUCCUUAUCUUUUUUUGACUUGUGUGUUCUAGAUGAUUGUUAAGAUGGUCAAAACUAUGCUUCCUCUAGGU